Molecule: transfer RNA, 75 nt
Filed under: Flavihumibacter solisilvae
Lineage: Bacteria; Pseudomonadati; Bacteroidota; Chitinophagia; Chitinophagales; Chitinophagaceae
Also listed under: 1 other name
Description: tRNA-Thr
Rfam family: tRNA
About the family: Transfer RNA (tRNA) molecules are approximately 80 nucleotides in length. Their secondary structure includes four short double-helical elements and three loops (D, anti-codon, and T loops). Further hydrogen bonds mediate the characteristic L-shaped molecular structure. tRNAs have two regions of fundamental functional importance: the anti-codon, which is responsible for specific mRNA codon recognition, and the 3' end, to which the tRNAs corresponding amino acid is attached (by aminoacyl-tRNA synthetases). tRNAs cope with the degeneracy of the genetic code in two manners: having more than one tRNA (with a specific anti-codon) for a particular amino acid; and 'wobble' base-pairing, i.e. permitting non-standard base-pairing at the 3rd anti-codon position.
Source: RNAcentral
GCCGUUGUAGCUCAGUGGUAGAGCACUUCCUUGGUAAGGAAGAGGUCGUGAGUUCAAUUCUCAUCAACGGCUCUA